RNAcentral lists this transfer RNA (73 nucleotides) under Trichonephila clavata. It matches the Rfam family "tRNA". From Rfam's summary of the family: Transfer RNA (tRNA) molecules are approximately 80 nucleotides in length. Their secondary structure includes four short double-helical elements and three loops (D, anti-codon, and T loops). The record is from Rfam by way of RNAcentral. Lineage: Eukaryota; Metazoa; Arthropoda; Arachnida; Araneae; Nephilidae.
GCCCCUGUAGAGCAAUGGAUAGCGCGUUGGGUUUCUAAUCCAAGGGUCGUGGGUACGAAUCCCACCUGGGAUG